Molecule: ribosomal RNA, 478 nt
Filed under: uncultured bacterium
Lineage: Bacteria
Description: partial 16S ribosomal RNA
Rfam family: Bacterial small subunit ribosomal RNA
Source: RNAcentral
GACGAACGUUGGCGGCGUGCUUAACACAUGCAAGUCGAACGGUAAGGCCCUUCGGGGUACACGAGUGGCGAACGGGUGAGUAACACGUGGGUGAUCUGCCCUGCACUUCGGGAUAAGCCUGGGAAACUGGGUCUAAUACCGGAUAGGACCCUGGGAUGCAUGUCCUGGGGUGGAAAGCUUUUGCGGUGUGGGAUGGGCCCGCGGCCUAUCAGCUUGUUGGUGGGGUGAUGGCCUACCAAGGCGACGACGGGUAGCCGGCCUGAGAGGGUGACCGGCCACACUGGGACUGAGAUACGGCCCAGACUCCUACGGGAGGCAGCAGUGGGGAAUAUUGCACAAUGGGCGCAAGCCUGAUGCAGCGACGCCGCGUGAGGGAUGACGGCCUUCGGGUUGUAAACCUCUUUCAGCACCGACGAAGCGCAAGUGACGGUAGGUGCAGAAGAAGGACCGGCCAACUACGUGCCAGCAGCCGCGGUAA